This 73-nucleotide transfer RNA is filed under the name Cricetulus griseus (Chinese hamster). It matches the Rfam family "tRNA". Rfam says of the family: Transfer RNA (tRNA) molecules are approximately 80 nucleotides in length. Their secondary structure includes four short double-helical elements and three loops (D, anti-codon, and T loops). Lineage: Eukaryota; Metazoa; Chordata; Mammalia; Rodentia; Cricetidae. The record is from Rfam by way of RNAcentral.
GGGGAUGUGGCAAAAGUUGGUGAAGUGCAUGCCUAGCAAGCAUGAGGCCCUGGGUUCAAGCCUCAGUACCCCA